AUCAGCCAUCUUCCUCCCUCUUCUUUGCCUCACAGACAUUUCGUGUUCUUUGUUUCAAGAAUUGCGGAUUCACUGGGGGCUGGAUUCAGUCUGGGGGCAUUAGGUUUUGCGGCCUCUCGAUGCAGAAGAAGCAUGAUCUGGGAUUAGACGUAUGCAUCAACUAGGCUCAGGCCUCAUGGCGCUCCAUGCUUCCGUGAGAAGCUGAUGUAGCUGAGGCACCAAUUCUAGUCGAUCUGCCGGCCUCGCCACAACGAGUUGGGUCUGACAGGAGAAGUUUGUGGCAAACAUGAGGCUGCUCCGCAGCUGUAGAGCCGUACACAUGAGACUAUAUGAGAGAUGUUCGAGCUCUGGCGUGCCACUGCAAUGACCGUUUAUUGAUAGGAAUCCCUCUAAAGACCAUAUGCUGAUCUUCUUUGACAAACUGCAGUCUCACGCUGCCAUCCAAGACGGCUGCAUCGCUUCUUCCCUAUGCUGUCCAAGAGGUGCGAGGAGGAUCGAGCAGGAAGACCCACUGAAAUUGACAACGAGCAGCAUUGUGCCCCGAUCAAAUUAUCGACUCUAAGAAC
Lolium rigidum is the source of this 566-nucleotide long non-coding RNA. RefSeq lists it as uncharacterized. The record is from RefSeq and is a predicted model, not a curated record. Lineage: Eukaryota; Viridiplantae; Streptophyta; Magnoliopsida; Poales; Poaceae. The transcript has 4 exons.